ACGGGGUGCAGCAGGCGAGNAAAACUUUGCAAUGUGCGAAAGCACGACAAGGUUAAUCCGAGUGUUUUCUGCUAAAGAAAUCUUUUGUUAGUUCUAAAACCACCAUCGAAUAAGGGGUGGGCAAGUUCUGGUGUCAGCCGCCGCGGUAAAACCAGCACCUCAAGUGGUCAGGAUGAUUAUUGGGCCUAAAGCAUCCGUAGCCGGCUAUGCUAGUUUUCGGUUAAAUCCAUGUGCUCAACACAUGGGCUGUCGAAAAUACUGCAUAGCUAGGGAGUGGGAGAGGUAGACGGUACUCGGUAGGAAGGGGUAAAAUCCUUUGAUCUAUCGAUGACCACCAGUGGCGAAGGCGGUCUACCAGAACACGUCCGACGGUGCGGGAUGAAAGCUGGGGGAGCAAACCGGAUUAGAUACCCGGGUAGUCCCAGCUGUAAACUAUGCAAACUCAGUGAUGCAUUGGCUUGUGGCCAGUGCAGUGCCGCAGAGAAGUCGUUAAGUUUGCCGCCUGGGAAGUACGUACGCAAGUAUGAAACUUAAAGGAAUUGGCGGGGGAGCAC
This 554-nucleotide ribosomal RNA is filed under the name uncultured archaeon. RNAcentral's name for it is "bacterial SSU rRNA". It matches the Rfam family "Archaeal small subunit ribosomal RNA", at positions 325 to 879 of the family's 1478-position model. The record is from RNAcentral.